GACGAACGCUGGCGGCGUGCUUAACACAUGCAAGUCGAACGGUAAGGCCCUUCGGGGUACACGAGUGGCGAACGGGUGAGUAACACGUGGGUGAUCUGCCCUGCACUUCGGGAUAAGCCUGGGAAACUGGGUCUAAUACCGGAUGGGACUCCUGGCUUCAUGGUUGGGGGUGGAAAGCUUUUGCGGUGUGGGAUGGGCCCGCGGCCUAUCAGCUUGUAGGUGGGGUAAUGGCCUACCAAGGCGACGACGGGUAGCCGGCCCGAGAGGGUGACCGGUCACACUGGGACUGAGAUACGGCCCAGACUCCUACGGGAGGCAGCAGUGGGGAAUAUUGCACAAUGGGCGCAAGCCUGAUGCAGCGACGCCGCGUGAGGGAUGACGGCCUUCGGGUUGUAAACCUCUUUCAGCUAUGACGAAGCGCAAGUGACGGUAGUAGCAGAAGAAGGACCGGCCAACUACGUGCCAGCCGCCGCCGUAA
This 478-nucleotide ribosomal RNA is filed under the name uncultured bacterium. RNAcentral's name for it is "partial 16S ribosomal RNA". It matches the Rfam family "Bacterial small subunit ribosomal RNA", at positions 28 to 523 of the family's 1533-position model. The record is from RNAcentral.